RNAcentral lists this ribosomal RNA (205 nucleotides) under uncultured Streptococcus sp. RNAcentral describes it as "partial 16S ribosomal RNA". It matches the Rfam family "Bacterial small subunit ribosomal RNA", at positions 1179 to 1382 of the family's 1533-position model. Lineage: Bacteria; Bacillati; Bacillota; Bacilli; Lactobacillales; Streptococcaceae. The record is from RNAcentral.
AUGACGUCAAAUCAUCAUGCCCCUUAUGACCUGGGCUACACACGUGCUACAAUGGUUGGUACAACGAGUUGCGAGUCGGUGACGGCGAGCUAAUCUCUUAAAGCCAAUCUCAGUUCGGAUUGUAGGCUGCAACUCGCCUACAUGAAGUCGGAAUCGCUAGUAAUCGCGGAUCAGCACGCCGCGGUCGAAUACGUUCCCGGGCCUU